Molecule: long non-coding RNA, 717 nt
Organism: Homo sapiens (human)
Lineage: Eukaryota; Metazoa; Chordata; Mammalia; Primates; Hominidae
Source: Ensembl
AGGCAAUGAUAGUAGGAAAUGCUAAAGAUACAGCUCAUACAAAAGCAGAAUGGAAUAUUCUGGAAGAAGUAAAGCAUCCCUUCAUCGUGGAUUUAAUUUAUGCUUUUCAGACUGGUGGAAAACUCUACCUCAUCCUUGAGUAUCUCAGUGGAGAACUAUUUAUGCAGUUAGAAAGAGAGGGAAUAUUUAUGGAAGACACUGCGUGGCCUUUUCUAACACGGAAGCUGCAUUUAAGAGCCUUAGGGAUGAAGUGCCCUUUUGUGGAGGAGGCUCACUGAGCAGUGUUGGAGGCUGUGUUUGUGGUCGUGCUGGCUGUGAAACUGCCUCAGUCCUUCCUCUAGGACACACCCUCUCCAUCCUGGAAUAAUCUGCAGGAUUGCAACAUUGUUAAGCAGCCAGUAUUGCGGUGCCUUGUGCUUUUCACAUCCAGACAGGGUUGAUUCAGCCCUUUAUUCUUUUGAGCUUUUACUUGGCAGAAAUCUCCAUGGCUUUGGGGCAUUUACAUCAAAAGGGGAUCAUCUACAGAGACUUGAAGCUGGAGAAUAUCAUGCUUAAUCACCAAGGUCAUGUGAAACUAACAGACUUUGGACUAUGCAAAGAAUCAUUCAUGACGGAACAGUCACACACACAUUUUGUGGAACAAUAGAAUACAUGUGAGCUGCAUGUUAAACAUAAUUGGUUUGGAGCCUCCAUUUACUGGGGAGAAUAGAAAGAAAA